GAUGAACGCUGGCGGCGUGCCUAACACAUGCAAGUCGAGCGAACCCUUCGGGGUGAGCGGCGGACGGGUGAGUAACGCGUGGGUAACCUGCCCUAUACACACGGAUAACGUACCGAAAGGUACGCUAAUACGGGAUAAAGUUGUUGGAUGGCAUCUUCUAACAAUCAAAGCUCCGGCGGUAUAGGAUGGACCCGCGUCUGAUUAGCUAGUUGGUGAGGUAAUGGCUCACCAAGGCGACGAUCAGUAGCCGACCUGAGAGGGUGAUCGGCCACACUGGAACUGCGACACGGUCCAGACUCCUACGGGAGGCAGCAGUGGGGAAUAUUGCACAAUGGGCGAAAGCCUGAUGCAGCAACGCCGCGUGAGCGAUGAAGGUCUUCGGAUCGUAAAGCUCUGUCCUCAAGGAAGAUAAUGACGGUACUUGAGGAGGAAGCCCCGGCUAACUACGUGCCAGCAGCCGCCGCAG
This 466-nucleotide ribosomal RNA is filed under the name uncultured bacterium. RNAcentral describes it as "partial 16S ribosomal RNA". It matches the Rfam family "Bacterial small subunit ribosomal RNA", at positions 28 to 523 of the family's 1533-position model. The record is from RNAcentral.